AUUGAACGCUGGCGGCAGGCCUAACACAUGCAAGUCGAACGGUAACAGGAAGAAGCUUGCUUCUUUGCUGACGAGUGGCGGACGGGUGAGUAAUGUCUGGGAAACUGCCUGAUGGAGGGGGAUAACUACUGGAAACGGUAGCUAAUACCGCAUAACGUCGCAAGACCAAAGAGGGGGACCUUCGGGCCUCUUGCCAUCGGAUGUGCCCAGAUGGGAUUAGCUAGUAGGUGGGGUAACGGCUCACCUAGGCGACGAUCCCUAGCUGGUCUGAGAGGAUGACCAGCCACACGGGAACUGAGACACGGUCCAGACUCCUACGGGAGGCAGCAGUGGGGAAUAUUGCACAAAGGGCGCAAGCCUGAUGCAGCCAUGCCGCGUGUAUGAAGAAGGCCUUCGGGUUGUAAAGUACUUUCAGCGGGGAGGAAGGGAGUAAAGUUAAUACCUUUGCUCAUUGACGUUACCCGCAGAAGAAGCACCGGCUAACUCCGUG
RNAcentral lists this ribosomal RNA (490 nucleotides) under uncultured bacterium. RNAcentral describes it as "partial 16S ribosomal RNA". It matches the Rfam family "Bacterial small subunit ribosomal RNA", at positions 30 to 507 of the family's 1533-position model. The record is from RNAcentral.